Non-coding RNA from Prunus avium (sweet cherry), 985 nucleotides. The record is from RefSeq and is a predicted model, not a curated record. Lineage: Eukaryota; Viridiplantae; Streptophyta; Magnoliopsida; Rosales; Rosaceae.
UUCUUUCCUUUCACUUUUCUUUUAUUUCCAUUUCUUUCCUUUAUAAUCUUAAUUUCCCAUAUCAGAAUUCCAAUAUUGUUCUUGAUAGUAGUUUUAUCUAAUUGGAAAAGAAUAUGAUUAAACUAGCUAAGGAUGAAUGAAGCCCUUGGUUUCUGAACUUCAAUUCCUACUCUCAAAGCUUAAAGGUAGAUUUGGAGAACAAUUUGACUUCCCUCUUCAGGUCUGGUCUGAUCAGCAAUAUCAGCUAAAUUUCUACUUGCAAAUUUCAAAACUUGUAAAUACAAACCCUGGUUUUUUUUUUUCAUGUAGUCUGUGUGUUGUGCACCUUCAAUUUUUCUACAUCAUUCAUACUAAGCCUUGCCUUUAAGCUAGUUAUGAAAUUUUGGGCCUCUGCAACCAUUGGCUUUAUUUGAAUGUUCACACUUUAAUAUGUGCUUUAACAAUAACGAUUCGAGACGCAUAUGUGGAUCGUGCCAAGCAAUAACAUCCAGCUAGCCAUUGGAGUUACUCUGCAUCCAUGUCAAUUGCCCUGAAUACAGACUUCUCUGCCUCAAAUUGAUUGGCCAUUUGUCUUCUUCCAACCAGUUUGAACUUUCUUUCCCUCUUGUAGUGAAGAAACCAAGGAUUGAGAUGACCGUGAGCCUUAAUGAUUAUCACUCAGUCUUCAUGCUCUUGAUUGCUUUUUCUUGGCUGCAUAAUUCAUAUACACCAGAAGUCUGAUCACAAAUGCACAAAUACAUGCCUACUUAGUCUCAAACCUGAGAGGGUGAGGAGGCGUAAUUAUGCCUGAGGCCACUUUCCAUGGCUUCGCCUCUUUUCUUUUCUAUGCCACAUCAUUAGCUUUUCCAAGGAAGCUCUUGCAAAAUUCAGAUCAGUGGUUCAAGGUUGAGUAUGGCCUUUCAUGUGGAAAUCUGAAAGUUCAUCCGUGAUAGUUAUAAUCUCUUCCAUAAAGGUGGAAACAAACAGGCAAAGUGGAAAAGAAAAA